CUAAAAUAAAAGUUGAAAUUAUUUUUUAAAAAGCCUAGGCUUCUUCCUAAACCCCCAAACAUUUUUAUUUACUCAACUAUGUAAAUGGAAUAUCUAAUUUGUAAUACCAGGUUAAAGAUAAACAUAAUAAAUCUUAUUUUUCUUUUAGUUAGGUCAAUUCAGUAGUCUUUUAAGCUAUAUCUAGAUAUAGCUUGGAUAAUUAUUGAUUUAAAACAAAGCAAAUAAAACUCAUGAACCAACAUUAUGUUGGGAUAUAAAUAAAAUUUACUUCACAGUAAAUUCUGUCAAAUUUCACUUUUGAGUUCUUUGAUAUACUAUAUAAAUUGUGUUGAAACAUGUUUACCAAAGGCUAAUUUAUAAAAGUAAUAAAAGAAAAAAUGGUUGUUAGGAGGAAAAAUGGCUAAAUUACCAUGGUGGAUAAAUAAAAUGAAAUUUGAUAUAAUCAUUAAUGUAAUACAGAAUAAUAAAUAAGAAUAUGUAAAGAUAUUCCUAGCAUAUUGUAAAAACUAAAUUAUAAAAUAAUAUGUACCACUCUUACCUCACUAUGAACACAUUAGAUACUAGUAUAUAUCUACAUAUACAUAUAUGUAGGAUGUAUAUGUCUGUCGCUGACUACACACAUGUAUAAAAGACUGGAUGCAUGGAUAAAUAGUAAGAUGAAAUGUCUUUUAGUUUUCUUUUUUGCUUAUCUGAUUUAAAAAAAAUUUUUAAAGUGAACCUGUGGUGUCUUUGUAUUGAAUAAAAAGUCUUAAACUUUUUUUAUCAUCUUGUGACUCUUUAGUCACCCUUGUCACAGAAAAUUCAUUUCAUCAGAAUAUCUGGCAAUGUCAUUACAAUGAUGGUUUGGGUCCUCGAAUAAAGAUUUCAUGAAAAAUGUGAAGAAAAAGAUGGUCCUUUUCCCUUUUUUCUAUUUAGAUAUUUUGAAAUAGAUAUAUUGAAGGGAGUUAGACAUGUUCCACAACAAUUAUGAAAAAAAAUCAGUCCAUUAAGCUUGCCAUCCUGACCUACAUGAUAUUUCUAUUGAAAGAAGUACAGUACUCAAGAUAAUUCCCAUAUAAGGCACUGAAAUCAGCAUUAAAGGAUUUUGAAUUACAGCUGAUGAGCAUGCAAGUCUGAAAGAAGACAUUAAUUUUUUUUUAAGUUCUGAAUAGUGUUUAAAUUUCUAAGAUAAGAGCUACAUUAACAGAAAUUUAUAUAUAUCUUCUUUUUAUUUCUCUAUACAUAUGAACACAUAGGAGAAGAGUCGAAAAAAUGACCAUGCACAUUGUCUAUUUAUACUUUGGCAUGAUUUGCAGACAUAAUUACUGUUGAAGGAAGAAAUAAACUCAAAUAUAUUAUUUCUCAGUCAUAGUGAUGUUUGAAUAUUUGCCUAUAUUUUAUGCCUUAUAAUUACAGACAAAAUAACAAUGUAACACAUUUGUUCUGGCCAUUAUAUGCAUGUUAAACACAGUUGCAAAACUCAAGGUAUGCAAAUAUUUUAUGGGUUAUUCAAAAUCACAUUAGUUGUAAUUUAUUUAAUAGUUUUUGAAGUGCAAAAUUAGACAUGCACAUACUUUCAUUUUAGGCUACUUGUUUUAUCCACAUCUGAAUUAAUUAAACUGCACUUCCCAGUAAAUAUCUGUAGACUGACAAAGACUGUAUGAGAAAGUUAUUGUGAAAAACACUUUCGGAAGAUUCUUGAAACUUUCAGUCUUCUAAACUCAUAGAAUUUUGUCUUUAGUUAGGUCACGAAUACCAUUUUUGUUAAGAAUAAGCCAAUGUAUUUGGUUUGUUUAAUUGCUCCUUUUUUCAAAAGCUUUGUUAUUAUAUUUCCUUCUUUUAAAUUAUAGGUCAUAAAAUAUGUAGCCUAUAAAAUCAUUCUCAUUGGGAAAGAAUUGCAGAAAAGUCAUUAUCUUUUGAAGAUAAGUAUAGUUAAAAGGUAAAUUUAAGCCUUUGGACAUCAUAUAGGUGAUCACUGAGCAAUGAAACUGAUGUUCACAUCAAAAUUACUGAUUGUUACCCAUUCUAUUUAUUAAGGCAAACUCAUCAUUGAAAAUUAAAAAUAAGUUUUUGAGUUUUAUAAACAUAAAAAAGUUUCUUGUUAACUCCCCUAUAACAUUUUACAUAUACCUUGAUGAUCGCUUAAAAUAGUUUGUUUAAAAUAGUGUGAAGUAAAAAUUCUAGUCAGUUUUAAAUAGUUUGAAUUAAGAUUCCUGAAUACUGUACCUACUGUGAAAAAAGGGAGUGAAAGGCAGAAAAUUCAUAUUAGAGUGUUUUACAUAUUAUCUAGGAUGGAAUGUAAUAAACUGUUUUAAAUAUCCUUCUAGUUGUUAUGAUAGGAUGUCUUUAGAUAAAUUUACAGAAUUUAUUUUAUUUUACUAAUUGAUUGGUAUAUUCAUCAUCCACAGAUAUAUUAGUGAAAGCUGGAUUCUAAAUGACUUUCCUAUGAUAAGCUUUCCAAUUAAUUCUUCUCACACUGUUUUCCUGGUGACAUUUGAACUUCUUUCAUUAUAUAAAACACAUCUGGAAUGAUACAUUGCUGAAUAAUAAACAUGGAUGCGAACAUGUUAAAGAUUGGACCCCUGACAUAGUCAAAUAUGUUCUGGUUUAAAACAAUGACCUCAACUAAUUCUGCUUUAAGUGAAUCACAUUUAGAAAGAAUAUAUAGGCAUGUCUUUUUAGCCUGCCUGUCUUGUGCUAGAAUUGGUCAAAGAGAGAGAAAUGAAAUUGUAAACUGUGUCUUCCUUGUUUGAGAUGACGAUAGUAAGUCAUAUUUUCCCUCCCAUCUGCAAAUAUUAUUUUCUUUUUCUUGUCUGAUAUUAAAAAUACUGCAAUAAGGAAAUAUUUAAAAAGUAUUAUCUAAAACAUAUGUUAAAUCAUGUAUUACUUAUAAUUUACAUCUGUUUCAUAGGGCUACUAAAUUUCUUCCAUAGUGUAUUUCAUAAAGGAGAAGAUGCUGAUAAGAUCUUGUUUAAAUGGCUUGCUAAUACAAGAAGCAGAUCAUUUUAAAUGGACCUUACAUCUUUAUAGGAUGUUAGAAAUGAAGACAUUACCUCAAAAUGUAGGUAAUUAUUGCCUCCUCUUUUAUCAGUGCUAUUUUCUGAGGUAUUAUCAUAAGAGAGCACUUUAGUAUUAAGCAGGGCCUUAGAGUGGCAAUAAAUCAGUCCAACUGAGUCAUCAUUGUCUAAGGCAUCUGAACUACUGAAAUGUUGUGGAUCCUACUGAGAGUGUGAAAUCACUUGACCCUUGGCAUUAACCUUUGCUGAAUGAAUAGACACUGCUUUCCACAAUGAGGAACAAAGCAGAAGACUAUUGAUUAAACACAUUCACUUGAUAUUAAAUGCUGGCUGAACUCACUUCUUGCUUCUAGUUCCAGAGGGAGAAACCCAGAGAGUUGCUGAGUCUCAAGAGAAUGGAUGUUUGUAAUUCAGAGCAAUGUUUUUCCUAGAAAGUACUUUUUUUUCCCUCCUUUGAUCAAUAAAUAGCACCCAUGAUCAGACAUGAGUAUAUAUUGUCUAUUCUGACCUGUAUAUUUUAUCACUUAAGGUGAGAGGUCACAGUGUUGUGACUAAUAUUUCUAAGUUCUAAGCAUGAAUUGUUUCCUGACUUCAAUAUCUAUUUGAAAAAGCAAUUUGUUUUAUAUUAUUUCUUGUUUAUGAAUCAUUAUUUUGGCAAUUGAUUUGUCUGCAGUAGUAAAAUAUCUGAUUUUUCUAGGAUUCUUUGACUUAACCAUUCUUUUUGCCGAUGUUGAAUUUUUACUCGACAUUAUUGGAAGAAAUCACAGUAAAAGACAAUCUUAGGAUAUGUGAGUUAUGUUACUUGGGAAAGAAAAACAUUACAGCUAAAUAAAUUUCUCAAUUUUAUAAAAGGGAAAAGCUUUGGAAGAGAGUAUAGCAGUACAUGUGAGCAUAAAGACAAUAAAAAUUAAAAUAUUUUAUAAGAAGUCCUAAGCUGAUUAUCUUCUGAUCUACUGCAUGUACCUAAACUAUUGACAAUAGUUUGACAGCUUCUUUAUAGACCUACUUUAUCCAGGAGUAUAAUUAAAAUUAAUUUAAUUCAUGGAACAAGAGCUAAAUUUUAAAAUUUUAGCCACAAAUUAGAAAAUCGUCUUUGUUUUAAAUUUCAGUGGCUUCUAUGUGCUUAACUUUAUAUUACUGCAAUUAUUUUAUUGCAAGAAACUACAUAAAUAGCUACAAGGUCUUUCUUUUCUUUCCAAAAUUUCAUAUUAUUCUGGGCUCAGGAUAUUACAUCAGUAAAACUCUUCGUAAUUUUUUCAUCACUAAAGGUUUUGACUGGCUUAUGUUUAAUCUUAGAAUUCUAGAUUAGCUAGUUGUGAAUCCAUCACGGUUGAGCAAAGAUGAUUCCUUGCUUGAAUAACAGAAAACCUUCCUUCUAAGGUAUAAUGGUGUAAUUUAAUACAGUAACAUCCACACAGUCUCACACACUUUGCACAAUUUUUGAAAAGGAAUAUUAGAAGGCUGAGGGAAGUUGAUAAAAUGAAUCAUGCUGCUAAACUUAAUGGUCAAUCCUUUUGAUUUGAUGCAUUCUACGGGGUGUGUAGCCCCUGAAAUCUUUCUGUGAAAGCUGCUGAAGCUUGGAAAAUAUGGAAAACAUUCUUUUAAAAGACUACUUUGGUUUUGUAUCACAUAUUUCUUUUUCUUUAUUACUAAGGACACCUGUAUAGCAGCCAUUUUUUGUUUUACUGUUAUCUUGAGCACAGGCAGGCUAUAUAUGCACAAGAACCUUGAAGUUUACUUUGGCACUUGGGGGUACCAAUGUACAAUUUAUUUAACUCACAUAAUACAGUACAAACUAGUUUUGUGCAGGCCAAACAAAAGAAAGAUAAUCAGCUUACAAAUACUGAUAUUCUAAGGUUAUGCUUAAUAAAAAAAUUUAACGAGAAUUUGUUUCUUUGAGUACCAACUAAAUGUAACUAUUACUUAUUCUGCAGUUCAUACUAGCAAACAAGUUAUUUUUGUGGUAUUUUAGAUGUAACCAAACUCGGUAGAGAAGUGACUGUGUAAGGUCACAUAGUAAGUUAGUGACAUAGCUGUGAUUUGAAUUCAUGCAGCAUGUACUGGAGACCCUUUCAUAAUCUUUUUGAUGUCUUUAUGUAGAUUCCAAAUGGAAAUUAUUUUAAAAUGAGGUUGGUGAUCAAAAUACAAUGAAAUUAUAAUUUAUUGAAAACAGAAAUAUUGAAACUCCAAAUUCAGUAUUGAAAGAAGGAAGGGAAGGAGAGGAAGAAGAAGAGGAAAAGAAAGAAGAAAAAGAGAGAAAACAAAACAAAACAAAACAAAACACUUUGCUCAGUACUAUAGCUCUUUAAGGAAAAGACCAAAUAAGAACCUCAAUUAAGACAUAUGCAAAAAUAGUUGUUUAUUGCUAACAUGGGUGGGGAAUUUGUAAUUUUUUUAAUGUUCAAACAAAGUAAGUAGAUUCUCAUUCAAAUUUCUGCUAGAAUAAAUACCCCCAUCCAGAGAUAGUUUGGAACACACCAAGGUAAAGUGAACAGUGAAUUUUUCUACUAAUUACAGAUGAGAUCCACUAGAGUUUACUCUUGAAACUGGUAUUGUUGCUGUAUUAAAAACAAAGCUCCCUUUCCAAAAAGUGGUGGGUUUUUGGAAAGUCAAUAAGAAAAGCUCCACAAUUAUUCUGCCAUAAGUAGAUUAUUUAAAAUUGAACUUUUCUGAGCAAUGCUUUGACAUGGUUCCCAUUUAUCUGACAAGUCACCAGAAACUUCUUUUUAAACAGUUUAUAUCUAAAAAGGACAGCUUUCAAGGUUUCCAUAGCCUGAACAUAACAGACUCCAGCCUGGAAGGAACCUUUUUGGGGAGAGACUUUUGUUUCCUUGAAUUAGCAGAAGACUUUGAAAUUGACUACACAUUGUUAAAUCCUUGCUUGGGAUCUAGUAAAAACCUAUAUAGUUUAUCUGACACAGUAGAGUUUAUCUUUUUACAUUUGUCAUUCCUCAUAAAAGAUAUCGACCAGACUUUUUGUGACUUUGACCAGCAGAAAACCUUGGCUGACAUACUCAAGGCUGAAAUGCAGUCAGCGGAAAUGGAAACACUUCAACUCUGCCCCUGUGGCAAGAAUGGCUUCCCUUCAGACAAUCUGGCCAGAUUCUUUAUGGACCCAAUGGGAGAAAUUGGAUGCUUGUAUAUACCUCUCAGCAUCUUUGAAGGGGCACUGAAACUUCAAUCAAAUUGGGGAAAGGGAGCCCUGAACUUUAGACCUGUUUUAAAUGUGCAGAGGUAGGAUUGAGACUUUCUUUCCUUUCUAAAAUACCUCUCAUGAUUCUUAACUACUUUUAUAGAGUCCUUGAGCCUUAAGUCUCAGCCAUAUUAAAAUCCCUUUUUCAAAGACAUUUGCUGAAGGAAUAAUGGCUUAGUACUAAGAAAAAACACCACAAGUUAAAAAUGUACUUGGCUAUAAUGGAAUUUAUUAUCAUAAACUACAAUUGUCAGUUAAGUUGUGUUCCUUAAGGCAUUAACAGUGUUUGCCCAAAAUGAGCUGAUUUAUCAUCAGUACUAAGAAAUCUUUUGUGAAUUAUUGUUGAUGCUAAACACAGUUUUUGAUUGUGAUAAUAGCUUGGCCUUGGAGUCCGGUUUACUUGCUUGCAAAUUAGCCAGUGUUCUUUGGUGCAGGGGAUGAGAAAUGUGACAUUGACUUUGGAAUUGUGAUCAAUAGCUUUUGAUCUAAGAAUCCUUUUUCUUUUUUGCAAGUGGCAACUGGCACAAGGAACACUUUCCAUCUGUAAGAAAGAAUACAAAGAACUUGGAACAAGAAAAAAGUAGAUAUCUCAUCAGUCAAUGUUGCUGUAUAGGUAAAGUCUGAAUUUUUUUAAAAAAGCAGAAGCAUCUCUAUUAUAAAGAUUUAAUAGUUGCAGGGUAGUGUAGACAGGGCUCUGUAUGUUAAAGCAUUAAAAACAGAAGCAAAACAACAUAAAACAAAAGUGUCCCUUUAAUGAGUUCAGUCUUACAUGACCAAAAUGUUGUUAUAAUUGCCCCUAGGAUUCUACCUACAAAAAUGGAUUAUUUAGUUGGGUAUUGUAUUAGUCCAUUCUGGCACUGCUAUAAAGAAAUACCUGAAACUGGGUAAUUUGUAAAGAAAAGAGGUUUAAUUAGCUCAUGCUUCUGCAGGCUGUACAGGAAACAUGGCUGGGGAGGCCUCAGGAAACUUUCAAUCAUAAUGGAAGGGGAAGCAAACACAUAUAUGGCCGGAGCAGGAGGAAGAGAGCAAAGAGGGAAGCGUCAGACACUUUUAAAGAACCAGAUCUCAUGAGAACUCACUCCCUAUCAUGAGAACAGCAAGGGGGAAGUCUGCCUCCGUGAUCCAAUCACCGCCCACCAGGCCUUUCCUCCAACACUGGGGAUGACAUCAGAUGAGGGUGAGGACACAAAUCCAAACCAUAUCAGGGAUUAAAUCUUCCAGUAUGAUAUAUGAUAUCAGACACAUCAGACACAUUUCAAAAAGAAGAAUGAAUAAAUAUGAAUGAGAAAUUUGAUAUAGACUCUAGGUUGCAUAAAAAGGGGUCAGAUAACUUUUACAAGGAUAGCUCUAUAUAGGUCUACCUCCAAGAAAAUGAAUGCAUACUAAUGCUCGAUCCUAGUAUUUGUGUUUUGUUUCAUUUUAAGGGUCCCUACAUGUUUUACAGAUACUCACCUUUUAUUUUCUGUUUUCUAUGCAAUCUAUAAUUUAUUGCAUUCUAAAUAUUUUUUCAUUUCUAUUUUCUUAUCUUUAAAAUAAACUUCUUUCUUUCCUUGGGGAUAAGCCACUAGCUAUUAAGGGAACAUUCUUGAUUUAUUAUAGAUAGGUUGAAUAAAGUUUUCAUAAAGUAUCUUAUUCACGUAAUAGAAUUUACCAAUAUGAAAGUCUUUUGACUAUAACUCUAGCACUUUCUCAUUAACCUAUGCCUUCAGUACAGCAAAGGAUAUGCAUUUGUUUGAGGAUUUGUGUUUUAGAUGCAGACUGAUUAAAUAGAGAUACAGUUUGUUAAUGAAAUAAUGUAUAUAGACACCAUGCCCAGCACUUGUUGGACAUUAUAUCAUUAGUCCUUAUAAUAAGCUGCAGAGCCAAAUAUGAUAUCCAAACUCUUCUCUCCAUUUGCAGAGGACUAAACUGAGACUCUAAUUCAAAGAUGUAAAGUAAAAUUCCCAAGAUUACGAAGCUAAUGAGUGACAAACUGACAUUAUAAUUUCAAAGUAAUUCCACUCUUAGUUACAUUACAUUGCCUCCCUCUCAGUUUUUAUCAUCAAGAUAAAUGUUUGUUUCAUAAGUAGAGUCUAUGUUUAUGUUUUAUGUUGACAUUUUCUUACUCUGCAUAUAGUAAUAAGAGUAUUAGUGGGAAACAGAGAGAAGAAAUGUUUUUUAAUUUCUCGAGUUGGAACAUGUUGUUUACUUAGGCCUUUGGUCAAACCAUAGUUUAUCAUCUGUAUUAGUAUGUUCUCAUGCUGCUAUAAGGACAUACCUGAGACUAGGUAAUUUAUAAAGAAAAGAGGUUUAAGUGACUCCCAGUUCCAUAGCGCUGGAGAGGGCUCAGGAAACUUAUAAUCAUGGCAAAAGGGGAAGCAAACAUGUCCUUCUUCACAUGGUGGGAGGAAGGAGAAGAAUGAGAGCCAAGUGAAGGGGGAAGCCCCUUAUAAAACCAUCAGAUCAUGUGAGAACUUACUCACUAUUACAAGAGUAGCAUGGGGGAAACCGCCCCCAUGAUUCAGUUACUUCCCACUGGGUUCCUCCCACAACAUGUGGGGAUUAUGGGAACUACAAUUUGAGAUGAGAUUUGGGUGCGGACACAGCCAAACCAUAUCAUCUUCUUUUCUUAUUUUAUUAAAAAUGUCCUUUCUGUAGCAUUCUGAGCUUUGAGUCUGUAUCUUGUUAUUACAGAGAGUAGCUAAAUGAAUAAUUAUUAGCACCCUUUUAAUAAUGUACUCCUAUGUAAUUGAAGAAAAAUUAUUGUAUAAAGCUAAUAUAUAUUAAGAUUUAUUUUGAUUUUCUUUAAUUAAAAAAAUCAAUUCUUAGUAUAAAAGGUACACCAUUGAGCUAAUUUGAUUUGAGUAAUGAUAUCUGUUUUAAGAGAAAAAUGAGAAAAAUAACAAAUCUAUUGUUAGUAACACCAUUACUUUUAUACCUGAACAUACUUUCUCCAGAUCUUUAUUUUCUUGUCUAUCACCAUUUGUCCAUUAGGCAAAUUUUCACGAUAUUGACUUUUCUAAUUUAAAAAUAUCCUUGUAUUUUUUCUGUUUAUUCUACUGAAAUAAAUAAUGUCACAAUGAUGUUCUAUCAUUUCACCCACAAGAGAAAAAUAUUGUGAAAUUUUAAUGAACAGUAAUUAAUUCAUUCAAUAUCUGAGUAGCUACUACUAUGUGUCAGGCACUGAUAUGGCCCUGUGAAUAUAAUAGUGAACCCAAUAGACAAAGAGUCCUGCUCUCAAGGAAGUUAUAUGACAAUAAACAAGAUUGAUAACUAAAAAAUAUGGUGAUAUGGUGUAAUACAUAGUAAUAAGUGCUAAGAAAAUAAUAAUGUAGAAAAGGGGCAAAGAGAAUAUUGGGGACAGUAUGUUUUAGAUAAGGUGGCCAAGGAAGGCCUAAUGAGAUGAUGUCAUUUGAGUAGAGACCUGGAUGAAGUGAGGUAGCAAAUCACAACUUUCUAAAAUUACAUAUAAAAUAUCCUUUAUGCAGUUAUGUAUUUGGCAUUAUGUAGCUAUUAUAUUGACAUUAGUGUUAAAGUGUCUUUCUAGUAGCCCAAUUUUAAUAAUUGUUUCAACAAGACUGUGUGUGUAUUGUCCUUUAGGCUCUAUUAUUCCUUUAUGAAUGCCAGAAGACUUCUGAAGCAACUGCUCAAGUCAUUUAGGAAAAGUAAUAUCCUUGGCUAAAAGUAGUAUUCCACUUAUUGGCUACAGAAUGUUGAGAUAUAAGACAGAAUCCCUAUCUAUAGGUUUAUUCUCCUAUUAAAGAAAUGAAUAAUGCUGGGAGACUAGAGAACCCCUCUUUUCUCCAAAGGAGACAGUCCCUAAAUCUCUUCUUAUCGCAUCAAAUUUUAAGCCUAGGAUUUCUAGGUGAUGAAUACUUUUCUUCAAAUUUUUUUCCCCAUGACUGAUCUACCUAAAACCAAAACUGAUCUGUUCCCUACAUGCCCGAUACACAGUGGUAAAGACAAAUCAGAUAUACAAUUUGACUGAAAAUUCUUUAUUUAAAGCAUGGUGAUAUAUAUAUGUAUGUCAGUUUUAAUAUAUAUUUUAUGGUAAUCGGUUAACAUUUGAAGCACUCUAUUUGGCAUUGUCUCUGCUAGAACUCACUCCCACUCCUGCAGCUAUGAUAAGCCCUUCAAUUAUCUUUAUCUCACCACCAACAAAGGAUGUAUUAAUUAAGAUAAUCGACUUUAGAAAUGAUUAUUCAUUCGUGAAAUAAGUGAUGUUUAAGAUAUGUGCACUUUCGAGAAAUGUUACACACUCACCUCUGGCCUUGCAUGAACAGGGUCUAAGAAUCUAGUGGCCUCAGUAGUAUAUUCCUUUUAAUUUGUUUCCACUUCCCUUCAGAAUGGCAUUGUAAGCCCUGGAUUCUGUAUAGUCCUAUGUUUAGACAUACAUGGUGGAGCUCAUUGACUUAAUCCAACUAGCAGUAUACAGAAUCCUAGAAUAUUUAUUCAUUUAUUUCUGCUAGAAUAUUUAUUUAUUUAUUUCCAUUGAUCCUUUCAUGCAUGGUUUGGCCAGAACAUCUAAAAGGAAUGAGAACGAAAACUUCAUUGCCUUUACAGAAACGGUUGUAAAAAAAAAAAAAAGUACAUACUAAAAUACAUGUUUGGCAGAAUUUGAUCUCAGUCUUGCACAGUUGUGAGAGAUGAACAUUUAGUUCUUAUGUACUUAUAGCCAAUGGAGGCCAAAGAAACUUAACAAAAAGAAUCUAACAAUUGUGAAUGACCACAUUGGCUUAAGUCAGUGCACAAUUACUACAUUAAAAAAGUCCCAAUUCAAAAGGAGACAAGGGAAACACACAGCAGUCACUGGUUCGUAACAAAAAUCAAGAUGGUAAAUAUAGAAGAGGUUGUAAAUAUAAAACUAUUGUAAAAUUUUAAAAUUGUUAAAAAAAAGAAGGCUUGGCAGUAGAUGAAACUAUGCCCUAUGCAUUGUCAAGCACAUUCCUUUAAAAGUGCUUGGAAAAGAGCAGGGAGGCUUCUUGUUCUAGUAGGUCCUGCUUUGUGUGAGGAGCUUGAUGCUUAUGAUGGCCACAUCUGAGUUUUGGAGAGUGUGUCCCCUGGGUGGUUGUGCAUCUUUCAUCCCACUUCCUACUGCUGCAGAUCUGGAGGCCUGUGGAUUCCUUUACAGAGUGCACAGUUGCAAGCAGUUCUUUGCUAUCUUGUUUGUUUAGUAGUUCAGUUCCCUACAAACUUGAAUAAGAAAUCAGUAUGUUUCUACCUGUUAGGACACAAAGCUAAAGAUCUUGUUUGGAUGUUGUUUUAAACCUGAUAAAUUUGGCUCUCGGGAGUUGGCUUCUAUGCUCUGACCUUCUUUUCUCCCUUUUUUAAGGAGCCACAACCUUGAAGCCAAUUGGGACAAUAGGAUGUUGUGGCAAGACCCUCACCUAAUCUUUGCUGGGCUGGGCUUGCUCCCGUUGUUCAGCAGAGUGCUUUUAAAAGAAUGUGUUUGAUAACACUUAGGGCAUAGUUAGUCUUACCUACUGCUAAGCGUGCCUUUUUUAAAAUAACAAUUUUAAAAUUUUAUAAUAGUUUUAUAUUUGCAGAAAAAUUAUGGAGAUAGCACAGAGUUCCCAUAUAUCCCGUGCCCAGUUUUCUUUAUUAUUAAAUUCUUACAUUAGCAUGGUACAUUUGUUACAGUUAAUGAACAAAUAUCUAUAUGAUGUUAUUAACUAAAGUCUAUAUUGUAUUCAAAUUUCCUCUUUCUGUUCCAGCUGUAAUUCAGGGUGUCACAAUAUGUUUAGUCAUCGUGUCUCCUUGGGCUCCUUAUGGCUGUGACACUCUCUAAGACUUUUCUGGCUUUUGAUGUCCAUAACAGUUUUGAGGAAUACUGGUCAGGUAUUUUGUAGCAUGUCCCUCACCUGAGAAUUCUGAUUUUUUUUUCAUGAUUAAGCUGAUGAUAUAUGUUUUUGGGAGGCAGAUCAGAAAGGUAAAGUCCCAGUUACAUUACAUCAUAUCACAUCAAGAGUAUGUACAAUUGUUAAAAAAAGUUUUCAUUGGGAGGCCAGCUCCACCACCUUGAAUUCUUAGGUAAGCAAAUGUAAGCCCAGUGUAAACAGUAAAACCAAACUUAAAUUUUACCAAUCAGAAACUACCAACUAUCUUCUAACUAGGGACAUCCCACUUUAACCAGUCAAAUUUCUUUGUCUUGAUUAUACCUUGUAAAAUUUUUCUGUCUCUUGCUUCCCUCUCCUCCAAGUGGAGCAUAGAACUGCCUAUGGCCUGGUGCUGCCUGAUUCGUGAAUCACUGAAUGUUCAAAUAAACUCAUUGACAUUUUAA
Homo sapiens (human) is the source of this 12448-nucleotide long non-coding RNA. RefSeq lists it as uncharacterized. The transcript is spliced from 2 exons. The record is from RefSeq and is a predicted model, not a curated record. Lineage: Eukaryota; Metazoa; Chordata; Mammalia; Primates; Hominidae.